RNAcentral lists this ribosomal RNA (1480 nucleotides) under uncultured bacterium. RNAcentral describes it as "bacterial SSU rRNA". It matches the Rfam family "Bacterial small subunit ribosomal RNA". The record is from RNAcentral.
AGAGUUUGAUCCUGGCUCAGGACGAACGCUGGCGGCAUGCCUAAUACAUGCAAGUCGAACGGAUCUCUUCGGAGAUUAGUGGCGGACGGGGGAGUAACGCGGGGUGAGUAACUCGUGGGCAACCUGCCCCAAAGAUCGGGAUAACACUUCGAAAGGAGUGCUAAUACCGGGUGUGAUCUAGAAUUCGCAUGGAUUUUAGAAGAAAGGCUUCGGCCACUUUGGGAUGGGCCCGCGUCUGAUUAGCUAGUUGGUGGGGUAACGGCCUACCAAGGCGACGAUCAGUAGCCGACCUGAGAGGGUGAACGGCCACACUGGGACUGAGACACGGCCCAGACUCCUACGGGAGGCAGCAGUCGGGAAUAUUGGGCAAUGGACGAAAGUCUGACCCAGCAAUGCCGCGUGAGUGAUGAAGGUCUUCGGAUCGUAAAACUCUGUCUUUGGGGACGAACAAGGUGACCGUACAGGAAUAAGGGACGGCUAACUACGUGCCAGCAGCCGCGGUAAUACGUAGGGGGCAAGCGUUGUCCGGAAUUACUGGGUGUAAAGGGCGUGUAGGCGGGAAUGCAAGUCAGAUGUGAAAUGCCGAGGCUUAACCUCGGAGCUGCAUCUGAAACUGUGUUUCUUGAGUGUCGGAGAGGAAAGUGGAAUUCCCAGUGUAGCGGUGAAAUGCGUAGAUAUUGGGAGGAACACCAGUGGCGAAGGCGACUUUCUGGACGAUAACUGACGCUGAGGCGCGAAAGCGUGGGGAGCAAACAGGAUUAGAUACCCUGGUAGUCCACGCCGUAAACGAUGGAUACUAGGUGUAGGAGGUAUCGACCCCUUCUGUGCCGGAGUUAACACAAUAAGUACCCCGCCUGGGGAGUACGGUCGCAAGACUGAAACUCAAAGGAAUUGACGGGGGCCCGCACAAGCGGUGGAGCAUGUGGUUUAAUUCGACGCAACGCGAAGAACCUUACCAGGGCUUGACAUCCUGCUACAGCUCAGAGAUGUACCUUCCCCUUCGGGGGCAGGGGUGACAGGUGGUGCAUGGUUGUCGUCAGCUCGUGUCGUGAGAUGUUGGGUUAAGUCCCGCAACGAGCGCAACCCUUGUUGUUAGUUGCCAUCAUUUAGUUGGGCACUCUAACGAGACUGCCGGUGACAAACCGGAGGAAGGUGGGGAUGACGUCAAAUCAUCAUGCCCCUUAUGACCUGGGCUACACACGUACUACAAUGGCGUAUACAGAGAGACGCGAAACUGCAAGUUAAGCGAACCCCUUAAAACAGGUCCCAGUUCGGAUUGUAGGCUGCAACUCGCCUACAUGAAGUUGGAAUCGCUAGUAAUCGCAGGUCAGCAUACUGCGGUGAAUACGUUCCCGGGCCUUGUACACACCGCCCGUCACACCAUGAGAGUCUGCAACACCCGAAGUCAGUAGUCUAACCGUAAGGAGGACGCUGCCGAAGGUGGGGCCGAUGAUUGGGGUGAAGUCGUAACAAGGUAACC